This 867-nucleotide ribosomal RNA is filed under the name uncultured bacterium. RNAcentral's name for it is "bacterial SSU rRNA". It matches the Rfam family "Bacterial small subunit ribosomal RNA", at positions 9 to 873 of the family's 1533-position model. The record is from RNAcentral.
AGAGUUUGAUCAUGGCUCAGGACGAACGCUGGCGGCGUGCUUAACACAUGCAAGUCGAACGAUGAAGCUGGAGCUUGCUCCGGUGGAUUAGUGGCGAACGGGUGAGUAACACGUGAGCAAUCUGCCCUUGACUCUGGGAUAACUGCGGGAAACUGUAGCUAAUACCGGAUACUUUCCUCGGUGGGCAUCCACUGAGGAAGAAAGAAUUUCGGUCAAGGAUGAGCUCGCGACCUAUCAGCUUGUUGGUGAGGUAAAGGCUCACCAAGGCGACGACGGGUAGCCGGCCUGAGAGGGUGACCGGCCACACUGGGACUGAGGCACGGCCCAGACUCCUACGGGAGGCAGCAGUGGGGAAUAUUGCACAAUGGACGAAAGUCUGAUGCAGCAACGCCGCGUGAGGGACGAAGGCCUUCGGGUUGUAAACCUCUUUUAGCAGGGAAGAAGCGAAAGUGACGGUACCUGCAGAAAAAGCACCGGCUAACUACGUGCCAGCAGCCGCGGUAAUACGUAGGGUGCAAGCGUUGUCCGGAAUUAUUGGGCGUAAAGAGCUCGUAGGCGGUUUGUCGCGUCUGCUGUGAAAUUUCGAGGCUCAACCUCGAACUUGCAGUGGGUACGGGCAGGCUAGAGUGCAGUAGGGGAGAUGGGAAUUCCUGGUGUAGCGGUGGAAUGCGCAGAUAUCAGGAGGAACACCAAUGGCGAAGGCACAUCUCUGGGCUGUAACUGACGCUGAGGAGCGAAAGCGUGGGGAGCAAACAGGAUUAGAUACCCUGGUAGUCCACGCCGUAAANCGGUGGGUGCUAGGCUGUGGGCCCACAUUUCCANCGUGGUCCGUGACGAAGUUAACCACCAUUAAGCCCCCCGCCUGGA